Molecule: ribosomal RNA, 474 nt
Filed under: uncultured bacterium
Lineage: Bacteria
Description: bacterial SSU rRNA
Rfam family: Bacterial small subunit ribosomal RNA
Source: RNAcentral
ACUCCUACGGGAGGCAGCAGUAGGGAAUCUUCCACAAUGGGCGCAAGCCUGAUGGAGCAACACCGCGUGAGUGAAGAAGGGUUUCGGCUCGUAAAGCUCUGUUGUUAAGGAAGAACACGUAUGAGAGUAACUGUUCAUACGUUGACGGUAUUUAACCAGAAAGUCACGGCUAACUACGUGCCAGCAGCCGCGGUAAUACGUAGGUGGCAAGCGUUAUCCGGAUUUAUUGGGGCGUAAAGAGAGUGCAGGCGGUUUUCUAAGUCUGAUGUGAAAGCCUUCGGCUUAACCGGAGAAGUGCAUCGGAAACUGGAUAACUUGAGUGCAGAAGAGGGUAGUGGAACUCCAUGUGUAGCGGUGGAAUGCGUAGAUAUAUGGAAGAACACCAGUGGCGAAGGCGGCUACCUGGUCUGCAACUGACGCCGAGACUCGAAAGCAUGGGUAGCGAACAGGAUUAGAUACCCUGGUAGGAUAGCG